Molecule: long non-coding RNA, 1305 nt
Organism: Drosophila subpulchrella
Lineage: Eukaryota; Metazoa; Arthropoda; Insecta; Diptera; Drosophilidae
Exons: 4
Source: RefSeq, a predicted model, not a curated record
CUAUAUUUUCAAUCGGGGCAGCACCGACCAGCUCCGGAAUUCCUCAGGGCGGAGUACCAGCAAUGUCCCAAACAGUUCCCCAACAUUGAUAUCGAUAACUAUCACCGUCUGACGAAAAACACACAUCUCUAACAGCAAAAAGAUAUUCUUACCACAGCGCGUCCACUGUUUCAUUGGUGCCCCGAGGGACGCCUGGGAGGCACAUACCAUGAUCAACUGCCGAAAUCAACUCCCGGAGGUCUACGGCCGCUCCAUCUUCCUCACAGGAAAAACUCACUUACACAUUUCGGCCUUCAAGACCAAAACUUGGCUGUCUUCAAUUUUACGCAGUCAAAGCUGAGAAUACGUUUCCCACUGGAAAAGGCUACAGCUGCCGCGGAAAAAUAUGCUUCACCAUUAAUUUAUUGGUAGAGCUCGCAUAAAAACACGGCGCACAACAAGGGACACACGCCAUGCUCUCGUGUCGGGUCACCUAAUCCUGAGAAGCUCCUGGGGAAAAGACGGGACGGGCCAAAUGGCAAACGACGAGGACAACUAAGGCUCUCGGGUUUGAUUCCAGAUAAAUUUACAAUUAAAAAAGGAAGUAUAUAUAGAAAUGAAUGUAAACAUGUAAUUUACAAUCCGUAGUUUCAGUCACUUCUGGGACAGGGCGAUUAUAGCCCGGGCCGAGGACUUCUCGCCAGAGGCCAGCGGCAAAUAAGGUCCACGAAAAGCAGCGCACUAAGGUGAGCUGCUGGACGGCCAGUCCAAAGUUCGGACGCCCGACUCAAAGCAGCGGGCCUCUCACCGCCGGGCGAUUUGGGGGGCUGUUGUUCCCCAAAGUGAGUUGGGCGUAAUAGCCCGGAACGAACUUACCGGGGAAUGUUGAAUGUCGGUGGCGGCGACUAGGAAAGGCAAUUUUAGCUUGUCCAAGGACUUCUAAGCGGGCCGAACGGACACCGGUUGCAGACAGCCAAAUCGUGGCUGGAAGGAAAGCCGAAACUACGUCGCAUACGUCGUAAAGCUGCCGAACGAAUAACCCGGGGCCCUUUGUGUUGGGACCUCGGUUGCCCUACAGAUAAUUAUUCAUCACACUAAGCUACCACCAUUAACCAUUAAAUGUUCUACCACUCAUUUUAAUUUAGUUUUAGGCACUGCAUCUGUCUGCUUGGCAAUAAGGCUGUGGCUGACUUAAAUAUCUUCGCUAUUUUCUUAGCCUGGCGUAUCAAAAGUGGAUCAUUGGACGAUAGAGUCCUAUUUAAGAGAAUUCCCAAGAGCGACCCGGGAUUCACUUAAAUAGCUGGAUUGCACGAUGGCCAACAGUAC